This 806-nucleotide ribosomal RNA is filed under the name uncultured bacterium. Its description in RNAcentral is "bacterial SSU rRNA". It matches the Rfam family "Bacterial small subunit ribosomal RNA", at positions 8 to 796 of the family's 1533-position model. The record is from RNAcentral.
AGAGUUUGAUCCUGGCUCAGAACGAACGCUGGCGGCGUGCCUAACACAUGCAAGUCGAGCGCGAACGGAGCAAUCCUAGUAGAGCGGCGCACGGGUGAGUAACACGUGGGUAAUCUGCCUAGAAGUUCGGGACAACCUGCCGAAAGGCUGGCUAAUACCGAAUAAGCCCCCAGAGUCUUUGGACUCGGUGGGAAAAGAUGGCCUCUGUUUACAUGCUAUCUCUUCUAGAUGAGCCCGCGGCCCAUCAGCUAGUUGGCGGGGUAAUGGCCCACCAAGGCAACGACGGGUAGCUGGUCUGAGAGGACGAUCAGCCACACUGGAACUGAGACACGGUCCAGACUCCUACGGGAGGCAGCAGUGGGGAAUUUUGCGCAAUGGGCGAAAGCCUGACGCAGCAACGCCGCGUGUGUGAUGAAGGUCUUCGGAUUGUAAAGCACUUUCGACCGGGACGAAAACGGGUUGGCUAACAUCCAAUUCACUGACGGUACCGGGAGAAGAAGCACCGGCUAACUCUGUGCCAGCAGCCGCGGUAAUACAGAGGGUGCAAGCGUUGUUCGGAAUUAUUGGGCGUAAAGCGCGUGUAGGCGGCUUUGCAAGUCGGGUGUGAAAUCCCUCAGCUCAACUGAGGAAGUGCGCCCGAAACUGCAGAGCUUGAGUACCGGAGAGGAUGGUGGAAUUCCCCAAGUAGAGGUGAAAUUUGUAGAUAUGGGGAGGAACACCGGUGGCGAAGGCGACCAUCUGGACGGAUACUGACGCUGAGACGCGAAAGCGUGGGGAGCAAACAGGAUUAGAUACCCUAGUAGUCC